Molecule: long non-coding RNA, 1031 nt
Organism: Monodelphis domestica (gray short-tailed opossum)
Lineage: Eukaryota; Metazoa; Chordata; Mammalia; Didelphimorphia; Didelphidae
Source: RefSeq, a predicted model, not a curated record
AAAGACACCCUGCUGCCACGAAGGAAUAGCAGCAAUAACAAAGCAGUGUCUUUAGUCCAUGUGUGUGUGUGUGUGUGUGUGAGUGAGCUAGGGUGCUGGCAUGGGAAAGAACUUUCCCAGAUCACAUUAUUAACAAUGAUUAUUAAUUAUGGGUAUUAUAUGAUAAUUAUAAUUAUUAUUGUAUAAUGUUAACUAUUCAUUAUUGACAACUAAUUAUUAUAAUCAAAUUAUUAACAAAUACUUUAAAGAGGUAGGAUUUGAACUCAGGUCCUCUUGAAUCCAAGGCUGGCCUCUCCAUCUACUACACUUGGGUACUUGUUGAGACACGUAUACGCAUGAACUUUGUGGUUGAUGAUUCAGGAGUUUAUAUAAUCUUCUAAACGACAUUGUCCUUAAAUACUCAGUCUUCCAGAUAACCGUCCCCUAUAACGAAUACAAUAUUGUCCAAAGACAAAAGAAAGUCGAUGCAAAAUCGGAAUCACUGAUCAGGGUAUCCAAAAAGCCUGAAAGCCUGCUCGUGGACCUUCCACCUCCUCCUCCUCGGAGUGGUGUAGACGUGCUUCUCGUCUCUCUUUGGCGCCACACUCGUCCUUUGGAAUUUGACAACAUUCACCAUUGAUUUGGGGCAGAACUUCAGCUCCUGGAGGGCAGGGACUCGAGCCCUCUUCUCCAGACCGGUGCCAGCUCUGGUGCUGUGGAAACACGGGCUGAACUACAUCUACAAGUAGAACAGGAUCAUUUGGCAAUGUCUGCUAGAAGCAAUGUGGCUUGUCUCUUAGCUCAUCCUCUGGCUUGGGGAGAGUCCCAGGCUCCACGGGUUUGUUUUUGCUGUUUCAGUGAAAUAAAUGCUCAUUAACAUCUGAUUAAAAGGACACGUCUGAAUGCCUAUGAAGGAUUGCCUAGAAGAAGAGCUCAUGUGUCACCGGGGUUUCUUGGGCCCAGCCCCUUCACUUUACAGAUGAGUUCACCAAAGUUAAAGGACUUACCCAGGGUCACACGGGUGGUGAGCCUCUCUCUCCUCCUCUGGCUGU